RNAcentral lists this ribosomal RNA (441 nucleotides) under uncultured bacterium. RNAcentral's name for it is "partial 16S ribosomal RNA". It matches the Rfam family "Bacterial small subunit ribosomal RNA", at positions 338 to 795 of the family's 1533-position model. The record is from RNAcentral.
CCUACGGGGGGCAGCAGUGGGGAAUAAUGCACAAUGGGGGAAACCCUGAUGCAGCAACGCCGCGUGGGUGAAGGAGCGUUUCGGCGCGUAAAGCCCUGUCAGCGGGGAAGAAGAAAGACGGUACCCGACCAAGAAGCCCCGGCUAACUACGGGCAAGCAGCGGCGGGAAUACGUAGGGGGCGAGCGUUAUCCGGAAUUACGGGGUGGAAAGGGAGGGUAGACGGGGGGGUAAGCCUGAAGUGGAAGCCCGCGGCCCAACAGAGGAACUGCUUUGGGAAGUGUUUUGCUGGAGUAUGGGAGGGGUAAGCGGAAUUGCUGGUGUAGCGGUGAAAUGCGUAGAUAUCAGGAGGAACACCGGUGGCGAAGGCGGCUUACUGGACCAUAACUGACGUUGAGGCUCGAAAGCGUGGGGAGCGAACAGGAUUAGAUACCCGUGUAGUC